Molecule: small RNA, 155 nt
Filed under: Vibrio nigripulchritudo
Lineage: Bacteria; Pseudomonadati; Pseudomonadota; Gammaproteobacteria; Vibrionales; Vibrionaceae
Also listed under: 10 other names
Description: yybP-ykoY
Rfam family: Manganese Mn2+ riboswitch aptamer (yybP-ykoY) (bases 1-134)
About the family: This RNA was originally discovered in E. coli during a large scale screen and was named SraF.
Source: RNAcentral
UUAAAAGUCUUUGGGGAGUAGCUUGCUUGUUCUUGUUGGAAGCGGAACAAGUUUGUACGUCAACAUAAUUGAUGGAUACCCAUCAUGGCGUAUGAGACUCAGUAGCCUAUAAAAAAUGAAAUCAGGCUGAGUUUAGCGAGACCAUAGACAAGAAU